GGCGAGUUUGAUCCUGGCUCAGGACGAACGCUGGCGGCGCGCCUAACACAUGCAAGUCGAGCGAGAACCUGGCCUUCGGGCCUGGGGAAAGCGGCGAACGGGUGAGUAACACGUGGGUAACCCACCCUUGGUACCGGGAUAGCCCGAGGAAACUCGGAUUAAUACCGGAUGGCCCAACAGCUCUUCGGGGCGGUUGGAAAAGGUAGCUUCGGCCUCCGACCAAGGACGGGCCCGCGGCGGAUUAGCUUGUUGGUGAGGUAACGGCUCACCAAGGCGACGAUCCGUAGUUGGUCUGAGAGGACGAUCAGCCACACUGGGACUGAGACACGGCCCAGACUCCUACGGGAGGCAGCAGUGGGGAAUCUUGCGCAAUGGGCGAAAGCCUGACGCAGCGACGCCGCGUGAGGGAAGAAGGCUUUCGGGUUGUAAACCUCUUUCAGGAGGGACGAAGCUACUCGGGUUAAUAGCCCAGAGGGUGACGGUACCUCCAGAAGAAGCCCCGGCUAACUACGUGCCAGCAGCCGCGGUAAUAA
Molecule: ribosomal RNA, 533 nt
Filed under: uncultured bacterium
Lineage: Bacteria
Description: bacterial SSU rRNA
Rfam family: Bacterial small subunit ribosomal RNA
Source: RNAcentral